AUUGGAGGGCAAGUCUGGUGCCAGCAGCCGCGGUAAUUCCAGCUCCAAUAGCGUAUAUUAAAGUUGUUGCAGUUAAAAAGCCCGUAGUCGAAUUUUUUAAAGGGUUUAAUUUUUAAUUUAAUAUAUUUUAAAUUAUUUUUUAAAUGAUACCUUUAAUAAUUUUUUUAACUUUUGGGUUAAUAUUUAAAUUAUUUAUUUAAUUUAAUAUUAAUCAUUUCUAUAAUUUUUAAUUAUAGAGGGUUAAAAAUGAUUACUUUGAAAAAAUUAGAGUGUUCAAAGCAAGCUUUAUAGCAUGAAUACAUUAGCAUGGAAUAAUGAAAUAGGACUUUGGUUUUAUUUUAGUUGGUUAUAAACUAAAGUAAUGAUGAAUAGGGGUGGUUGGGGGCAUUAGUAUUUAAUUGUCAGAGGUGAAAUUCUUGGAUUUAUGAAAGACUCACUUCUGCGAAAGCAUUGCCAAGGACAUUCCCAUUGAUCAAGGACGAAAGUUGGGGGAUCGAAGAUGAUUAGAUA
RNAcentral lists this ribosomal RNA (510 nucleotides) under Conidiobolus lamprauges. RNAcentral's name for it is "partial 18S ribosomal RNA". It matches the Rfam family "Eukaryotic small subunit ribosomal RNA", at positions 547 to 1014 of the family's 1831-position model. Lineage: Eukaryota; Fungi; Entomophthoromycota; Entomophthoromycetes; Entomophthorales; Conidiobolaceae. The record is from RNAcentral.